UCCGCUCCAAGAAACUGUUUUUAUGAAGAGGCACACAACCAAUAAAAAGGUUUGUGCAUGAAAACCCAAUUUCUACGAUCCACUACUCCAAAAAGAUUUCUACAAUAUUCAAACUUCUCCAUUAUAUGAUUCUCUGCUCCAUGAACUGUAUUUUAUGAA
Carassius auratus (goldfish) is the source of this 159-nucleotide long non-coding RNA. RefSeq lists it as uncharacterized. The record is from RefSeq and is a predicted model, not a curated record. Lineage: Eukaryota; Metazoa; Chordata; Actinopteri; Cypriniformes; Cyprinidae. The transcript is spliced from 3 exons.